RNAcentral lists this ribosomal RNA (627 nucleotides) under uncultured Bacteroidota bacterium. RNAcentral's name for it is "bacterial SSU rRNA". It matches the Rfam family "Bacterial small subunit ribosomal RNA", at positions 39 to 663 of the family's 1533-position model. The record is from RNAcentral. Lineage: Bacteria; Pseudomonadati; Bacteroidota.
GCGGCAGGCCUAACACAUGCAAGUCGAGGGGUAACAGGAAAGCUUGCUUUUGCUGACGACCGGCGCACGGGUGCGUAACGCGUGUGCAACCUACCUCAUACUGGAGCAUAGCCCUUGGAAACGGGGAUUAAUACUCCAUGGUAUCAUGAAUUCGCAUGUUUUCAUGAUUAAAGAAUUUCGGUAUGAGAUGGGCAUGCGUCCCAUAGCUAGUUGGUGAGGUAACGGCUCACCAAGGCGACGAUGGGUAGGGGGCCUGAGAGGGUGGUCCCCCACACUGGUACUGAGACACGGACCAGACUCCUACGGGAGGCAGCAGUGAGGAAUAUUGGUCAAUGGAGGCAACUCUGAACCAGCCAUGCCGCGUGAAGGAUGACGGCCCUAUGGGUUGUAAACUUCUUUUAUAUGGGAAGAAACUUAUCUACGUGUAGAUAACUGACGGUACCAUACGAAUAAGGAUCGGCUAACUCCGUGCCAGCAGCCGCGGUAAUACGGAGGAUCCAAGCGUUAUCCGGAUUCAUUGGGUUUAAAGGGUCCGUAGGCGGAUUUUUAAGUCAGUGGUGAAAGCCGACAGCUCAACUGUCGAACUGCCAUUGAUACUGGAAAUCUUGAGUACAAAUGAAGUAGGCG